This 180-nucleotide small RNA is filed under the name Chrysemys picta bellii (western painted turtle). Its description in RNAcentral is "TUC338 (ENSCPBG00000003959.1)". Lineage: Eukaryota; Metazoa; Chordata; Testudines; Emydidae. The record is from RNAcentral.
UUGAGAACCCUGGAGACUGAAGACCUUGAUUUAUUCAUAGAAAGGUACAGAAUGGGCAACAGCAGGGCAAGAUUUCUCCAUACCUUACUCCAUCAAUGCAUACCAAUCCUAAUCUGGAGAGAUUUCUAUGGACAAGAGAAUAGUUCAUUUUCCAUGCUUACCAUUCAGUUCUUGCUCACU